Molecule: long non-coding RNA, 410 nt
Filed under: Mytilus galloprovincialis (Mediterranean mussel)
Lineage: Eukaryota; Metazoa; Mollusca; Bivalvia; Mytilida; Mytilidae
Source: RNAcentral
AGUGAGGUCGUUUUCUGAAUUUUUCGUUUCUGUUCUCUACCUUUAGUUUGCUUCAACCAAAUGUUAUAAAAUUUAUACGUAAUGAUUUAUAAUGGUUUAUAUUUAUGCAAGAGGGGCAUCAUCAAUGUCCCAUGGACACAUUCCUUCAAACUCAGAGUCUUGUACAUGUAUUAAUACACAAGUAUGACCAAAUUUAAACACCUCCCCUUCCGACUGAUAGUUGUGGGCAUAAAAGUUAAGGGAUGACAUCAAAAGUUCAAUGUAGGAUAAAAAAAAACUUAAUUCACAUAGUUUGUUCACUGACCCCCUCCCCCCUCUUAACUUAAUUUGGGAAAAAUUUGAUUGACCAAUAUGGAUAUAUGUAAAAUCGAUGUCAAAUUAAUAAAAACUUGCAGCAACUUUUAUCCCCC